AGUGAACGCUGGCGGUAGGCCUAACACAUGCAAGUCGAACGGCAGCACAGUAAGAGCUUGCUCUUACGGGUGGCGAGUGGCGGACGGGUGAGGAAUACAUCGGAAUCUACUUUUUCGUGGGGGAUAACGUAGGGAAACUUACGCUAAUACCGCAUACGACCUACGGGUGAAAGCAGGGGAUCUUCGGACCUUGCGCGAUUGAAUGAGCCGAUGUCGGAUUAGCUAGUUGGCGGGUAAAGGCCCACCAAGGCGACGAUCCGUAGCUGGUCUGAGAGGAUGAUCCGACACACUGGAACUGAGACACGGUCCAGACUCCUACGGGAGGCAGCAGUGGGGAAUAUUGGACAAUGGGCGCAAGCCUGAUACAGCCAUACCGCGUGGGUGCAGAAGGACUUAGGGUUGUAAAGCCCUUUUGUUGGGAAAGAAAAGCAGCAGGUUAACCCCCCGCUGUUAUGACGGUACCCAAAGAAUAAGCACCGGCUAACUUCGUG
This 491-nucleotide ribosomal RNA is filed under the name uncultured bacterium. Its description in RNAcentral is "partial 16S ribosomal RNA". It matches the Rfam family "Bacterial small subunit ribosomal RNA", at positions 29 to 507 of the family's 1533-position model. The record is from RNAcentral.